This 435-nucleotide ribosomal RNA is filed under the name uncultured bacterium. Its description in RNAcentral is "partial 16S ribosomal RNA". It matches the Rfam family "Bacterial small subunit ribosomal RNA", at positions 29 to 507 of the family's 1533-position model. The record is from RNAcentral.
AACGAACGCUGGCGGCAGGCUUAACACAUGCAAGUCGAACGCAUGCCUUCGGGCAUGAGUGGCAGACGGGUGAGUAACGCGUGGGAACCUACCCCUUGGUACGGGAUAGCUCCGGGAAACUGGAGAUAAUACCGUAUGUGUCCUGAGGGACAAAGAUUCAUCGCCAAGGGAUGGGCCCGCGUCGGAUUAGCUAGUUGGUGGGGUAACGGCCUACCAAGGCGACGAUCCGUAGCUGGUCUAAGAGGAUGAUCAGCCACAUUGGGACUGAGACACGGCCCAAACUCCGACGGGAGGCAGCAGUGGGGAGGAUUGGACAAUGGGCGCAAGCCUGAUCCAGCCAUGCCGCGGGAAUGAUGAAGGCCCUAGGGUGGUAAGGCUCUGUCACCGGUGACGAUAAUGACGGUAAGCGAAGAAGAAGCCCCGGCUAACUUCGUG